AAUCUCCCAGGCCAUGGUUUAGUCUUUUUUGUAUUCGUGUCUGAGGGUAUGGAAAGAGCCCAGAGGCAUGAAGCACACCUAGCGUCCAAGUCCAAGGCCACUGAUUUGAUGUUUUUGUUCAUCUCUCUCUGAAUAUCUCUCUGAAUAUUUCUUGAUGAAAUAAAUCUAGGGUUGUCUUCGGUACAUGUGCAUCCAUUGCUAUUACAUUUUAAAGAAUAUUAG
This 222-nucleotide unclassified non-coding RNA is filed under the name Hevea brasiliensis (rubber tree). Lineage: Eukaryota; Viridiplantae; Streptophyta; Magnoliopsida; Malpighiales; Euphorbiaceae. The record is from RNAcentral.